GAGGAUUUAGCUCAGUGGUAGAGCACUUGCCUAGCAAGACAAGGCCCUGGGUUCAGUCCUCA
RNAcentral lists this transfer RNA (62 nucleotides) under Mus musculus (house mouse). It matches the Rfam family "tRNA". From Rfam's summary of the family: Transfer RNA (tRNA) molecules are approximately 80 nucleotides in length. Their secondary structure includes four short double-helical elements and three loops (D, anti-codon, and T loops). RNAcentral also lists the same sequence under 1 other name. The record is from Rfam by way of RNAcentral. Lineage: Eukaryota; Metazoa; Chordata; Mammalia; Rodentia; Muridae.